AGAGUUUGAUCCUGGCUCAGAACGAACGCUGGCGGCAGGCUUAACACAUGCAAGUCGAGCGCCCCGCAAGGGGAGCGGCAGACGGGUGAGUAACGCGUGGGAACGUACCCCCCGGUUCGGAAUAACUCAGGGAAACUUGAGCUAAUACCGGAUACGGCGACCAAGAGAGAUCUUGGAGGCGAAAGAUUUAUCGCCGGGGGAUCGGCCCGCGUCCGAUUAGCUAGUUGGUGUGGUAAUGGCGCACCAAGGCGACGAUCGGUAGCUGGUCUGAGAGGAUGAUCAGCCACAUUGGGACUGAGACACGGCCCAAACUCCUACGGGAGGCAGCAGUGGGGAAUAUUGGACAAUGGGCGAAAGCCUGAUCCAGCCAUGCCGCGUGAGUGAUGAAGGCCUUAGGGUUGUAAA
RNAcentral lists this ribosomal RNA (405 nucleotides) under uncultured bacterium. RNAcentral describes it as "bacterial SSU rRNA". It matches the Rfam family "Bacterial small subunit ribosomal RNA", at positions 8 to 429 of the family's 1533-position model. The record is from RNAcentral.